GACGAACGCUGGCGGCGUGCUUAACACAUGCAAGUCGAACGGAAAGGCCCUGCUUUUGUGGGGUGCUCGAGUGGCGAACGGGUGAGUAACACGUGAGUAACCUGCCCUUGACUUUGGGAUAACUUCAGGAAACUGGGGCUAAUACCGGAUAGGAGCUCCUGCUGCAUGGUGGGGGUUGGAAAGUUUCGGCGGUUGGGGAUGGACUCGCGGCUUAUCAGCUUGUUGGUGGGGUAGUGGCUUACCAAGGCUUUGACGGGUAGCCGGCCUGAGAGGGUGACCGGCCACAAUGGGACUGAGAUACGGCCCAGACUCCUACGGGAGGCAGCAGUGGAGAAUAUUGCACAAUGGGCGGAAGCGUGAUGCAGCAACGCCGCGUGCGGGAUGACGGCCUUCGGGUUGUAAACCGCUUUCGCCUGUGACGAAGCGUGAGUGACGGUAAUGGGUAAAGAAGCACCGGCUAACUACGUG
RNAcentral lists this ribosomal RNA (468 nucleotides) under uncultured bacterium. RNAcentral's name for it is "partial 16S ribosomal RNA". It matches the Rfam family "Bacterial small subunit ribosomal RNA", at positions 28 to 507 of the family's 1533-position model. The record is from RNAcentral.